RNAcentral lists this ribosomal RNA (253 nucleotides) under uncultured bacterium. RNAcentral's name for it is "partial 16S ribosomal RNA". It matches the Rfam family "Bacterial small subunit ribosomal RNA", at positions 524 to 776 of the family's 1533-position model. The record is from RNAcentral.
UACGUAGGUGGCAAGCGUUGUCCGGAUUUACUGGGCGUAAAGAGCGCGCAGGCGGUCGGAUAAGUCGAGUGUGAAAGCCCCUGGCUCAACCAGGGAGGGUCAUUCGAUACUGUUCGACUCGAAGGCAGGAGAGGGAAGUGGAAUUCCGGGUGUAGUGGUGAAAUGCGUAGAUAUCUGGAGGAACACCGGUGGCGAAGGCGGCACCCUGGACCGGUAUUGACGCUGAGGCGCGAAAGCCAGGGGAGCAAACGGG